This is a long non-coding RNA of Cucumis sativus (cucumber), 469 nucleotides long. RefSeq lists it as uncharacterized. The transcript has 2 exons. Lineage: Eukaryota; Viridiplantae; Streptophyta; Magnoliopsida; Cucurbitales; Cucurbitaceae. The record is from RefSeq and is a predicted model, not a curated record.
GCACUGCCGCGCGACUCUCCGACCGCGUCUGUCUUCACCUCCGUGAAGCCGUCGAUGCAUACAUCUUGUGAAGCCCGGUCGCCGCGUCAGAUCGUCGAUCGAUUUUGAGGCAGCCGCCACGUCUCCUUUGGCCGACCGCUGACCGACCCACACUUAGGAUUUUUGCUGCGAGUUCGACAGUCGUGCGUUGAGGUGUUGGGAGUAACGUUGGGCUCCCUUAAAUUCACAACCAAUAUAUGAAUUGUUGAGGGUUCAGUUCGCCAAUACUUCGGAUUGUUUCGAGGACGUUAGUUGAUUAAGGAGCUUCCCUAACUUUGAGGUAAGGGAUUUUCUACUGGACUCACUUAUGAUUGUGAAUUGUAUGUCUGUAUGAUUGUCUCUGACUGAGUAAAGAUGUUGAGAUGAUAUAUAUAUAUACACGUAUGGAUGUAGAUUCGGUGUUGAAUGUAUACUGUGGAUUGACUGAAAA